CACGUGGGGAACCUGCCCCAUAGUCUGGGAUACCACUUGGAAACAGGCGCUAAUACCGGAUAAGAAAGCGGAUCGCAUGAUCAGCUUUUAAAAGGCGGCGUAAGCUGUCGCUAUGGGAUGGCCCCGCGGUGCAUUAGCUAGUUGGUAAGGUAAAGGCUUACCAAGGCGAUGAUGCAUAGCCGAGUUGAGAGACUGAUCGGCCACAUUGGGACUGAGACACGGCCCAAACUCCUACGGGAGGCAGCAGAU
Molecule: ribosomal RNA, 249 nt
Filed under: uncultured Lactobacillus sp.
Lineage: Bacteria; Bacillati; Bacillota; Bacilli; Lactobacillales; Lactobacillaceae
Description: partial 16S ribosomal RNA
Rfam family: Bacterial small subunit ribosomal RNA
Source: RNAcentral